This 741-nucleotide ribosomal RNA is filed under the name bacterium. Its description in RNAcentral is "bacterial SSU rRNA". It matches the Rfam family "Bacterial small subunit ribosomal RNA", at positions 69 to 823 of the family's 1533-position model. The record is from RNAcentral.
AAGCCGACAGCUUGCUGUUGGUGGAUGAGUGGCGAACGGGUGAGUAACACGUGAGUAACCUGCCCCUGAUUUCGGGAUAAGCCUGGGAAACUGGGUCUAAUACCGGAUAUGACCUCCUGUCGCAUGAUGGGUGGUGGAAAGUUUUUCGAUCGGGGAUGGGCUCGCGGCCUAUCAGCUUGUUGGUGGGGUAAUGGCCUACCAAGGCGACGACGGGUAGCCGGCCUGAGAGGGCGACCGGCCACACUGGGACUGAGACACGGCCCAGACUCCUACGGGAGGCAGCAGUGGGGAAUAUUGCACAAUGGGGGAAACCCUGAUGCAGCGACGCAGCGUGCGGGAUGACGGCCUUCGGGUUGUAAACCGCUUUCAGCAGGGAAGAAGCGAAAGUGACGGUACCUGCAGAAGAAGUACCGGCUAACUACGUGCCAGCAGCCGCGGUAAUACGUAGGGUACGAGCGUUGUCCGGAAUUAUUGGGCGUAAAGAGCUCGUAGGUGGUUGGUCACGUCUGCUGUGGAAACGCAACGCUUAACGUUGCGCGUGCAGUGGGUACGGGCUGACUAGAGUGCAGUAGGGGAGUCUGGAAUUCCUGGUGUAGCGGUGAAAUGCGCAGAUAUCAGGAGGAACACCGGUGGCGAAGGCGGGACUCUGGGCUGUAACUGACACUGAGGAGCGAAAGCAUGGGGAGCGAACAGGAUUAGAUACCCUGGUAGUCCAUGCCGUAAACGUUGGGCACUAGGUGU